Molecule: long non-coding RNA, 825 nt
Organism: Diprion similis
Lineage: Eukaryota; Metazoa; Arthropoda; Insecta; Hymenoptera; Diprionidae
Exons: 3
Source: RefSeq, a predicted model, not a curated record
UUCUUUUUUUUUUGUAUUCAUCUCGGUAUCUGAAUUUUCUGAUUCACGUUGAGAGACUCAUAAUAUUAAACAAGAUAUGAAUAUAUUGUAAAGGCCACUUGAGUUUAUCAAACAAGGUCUGUUAUCUUAAUUGCUUUGAGAUAAUGAUUAUUGUAUUUCUGCGUCGAUAAAACGUUUGUCUACGUGAUUAAUAAUUAUACUUUUUCAUUAUGAUUUCAUUAUUAUUCCGCCUAUUUCUUUUUUUGAUUAUUGCGUUCAAUCUUCCUAAUUCGUACAGUUCAAAGUAGUGGAACAAUUGUGAAUGAAACAGUAUUCAUUUCUAUAAUACUCAAGAGUCAACGGAUUAUCCUUAUAAUUUGUUUUAUACACAUAUAAUAGGUUCUCUGUUGCGUUUUACUUUUCCAAGCAUAUAUCUAACACAUGCGAUAACAAUGUUAUACAAAUUUUGCGUGGCCAAGUAUACACGAAACACAAUCUGAUAAGGGAUCUAUCUUAAUCUAUAACGUUUUAUAUUAAACGUGUAUCAGUAUUUUAAAAAUCACAAAAUAUAUGGACAAAGAACCAAAUGAGCAUUUGGGACCGUCAGUCUGAAGGCAAUCUCAAGUAAGUGUAAGUACUUGAGCUAUGAAGGCGGACGCAGGUCCCAAAGACAAAUUUAAGCCUAAACCAAGAUACGUUUAUCGGAUAUCGUGUACGGAGAUAGCAUAAAGUGGGAUAUAGCGACGAUAAUACAAAGUAACGCAGACGGCUUAUGCCACAACCAGUUCAUGGACAUGGAAGGCCAUGACCAUUACCGUGAAUAUCCAAACACCGUUUAAUUUUUUG